CCUANGGGUGGCAGCAGUGGGGAAUUUUGGACAAUGGGGGAAACCCUGAUCCAGCCAUUCCGCGUGAGUGAAGAAGGCCUUCGGGUUGUAAAGCUCUUUCGGCAGGAACGAAACGGUGGAAUCUAAUACAUUCCAUUAAUGACGGUACCUGAAGAAGAAGCACCGGCUAACUACGUGCCAGCAGCCGCGGUAAUACGUAGGGUGCGAGCGUUAAUCGGAAUUACUGGGCGUAAAGCGUGCGCAGGCGGUGACUCAAGUCAGAUGUGAAAGCCCCGGGCUUAACCUGGGAACGGCAUUUGAAACUAGGUCGCUAGAGUGUAGCAGAGGGGGGUAGAAUUCCACGUGUAGCAGUGAAAUGCGUAGAGAUGUGGAGGAAUACCGAUGGCGAAGGCAGCCCUCUGGGUUAACACUGACGCUCAUGCACGAAAGCGUGGGGAGCAAACAGGAUUAGAUACCCUANUANUC
This 465-nucleotide ribosomal RNA is filed under the name uncultured bacterium. RNAcentral's name for it is "bacterial SSU rRNA". It matches the Rfam family "Bacterial small subunit ribosomal RNA", at positions 338 to 795 of the family's 1533-position model. The record is from RNAcentral.